Cyprinus carpio (common carp) is the source of this 1450-nucleotide long non-coding RNA. Lineage: Eukaryota; Metazoa; Chordata; Actinopteri; Cypriniformes; Cyprinidae. The record is from Ensembl.
UACAGUAACCUACAGAGUAGUAGUUAGUAGGUAGACAAGAACUGGUCCAAAGUUCACUUUAGUAAUGAGAGCAAAUUUAAUUUAUUUGGGUCUGAUGGGAAACAUUUUGAUCAGCGUCAAACUAGGGAACUAAAGACUGAAACCCGAGUGUGUAAACAAGUCAGUGAAAAGUGGCGGUCUGGGGGAUGUUUUCUGCGGCAGGAGUUGCAGUGUAAAUACAUACAUAAAAUAAGUGGGCUAAACAGUAGUAUUUCUGAUGACAAUUGCAGUUGUUCAAAGAACUCCGAAAUCUACAAGUCAAGUUCAAACUCGUUGCAUGACGUCAGACCUGGUGCACAAAAUCACAAGGGAGUAAACAUAGAAAGUCAGAUGAAGAGUGAAAAUGAGAAGCUCCAAAAAGAACUGGAGCAACACAAACUCAGAGAAAGAGAGUGGGAACAAAAACUUAAGGAAGUGGAGGACAGAUUAAGGCUGGAGACAGAUCUGAGGAGAAGAGAGAAGGAACUGGAGUCCAAAGAGGGAGGAACGCCAAAGAAAGAGCAAGAAAUCCAAACUACUGGAGAAGAGCAUCAUCUACACAGCAACAUAGAGCUAACUUCUCCUGGGUGUAAGUACUGCUAUGUCAAAAAAUAUCUUAAUGUUGUAGGUUUACCAUUAGCUCUCUUGAUGACCCAGUUACAGUAAUGCACUUCCAACGAAAGUACAUUCAGCAUUUGCACAACAAAAGUACAUAUUUACAUAUUUCACUGCUCACACAAUUGACUGUAUUCCACAAAUGCUAUUGAUAGAGUUUUGAAAUGUAUUAAAUCAGAAACUUAUUUCAUAGGCCUAUCCAUAUUUUGUUUUAGAAAUACUUUUCAUUGAGAUUUAAACAAAUGAAGACUUACAGUUUUUUUUGUUGAUAUUGCUUUGUUCCUCUAUACUCUUAGUAUCUCAAGACCAACGCAGAUCUCUAGAUGAAAGAGAGGGAGAGUUGAGGAGCAAAGCUGAAGAUUCACAUCACAGCAAAUCACUUGAGUUUGGAAAACCUGUGAGACGCAACAGCAACCCACUCGCACCACCUAAUAUUAAAUAUAUCAUUAAUCUACAUUUUGACAAAGAAAGAUUUGCAUUUGGCUUUUUAAAGCAAAUGCAUGUAGUUUUGUGUAUUUUUGUGACUUUGGAGAUCCUUACCGUUAAAUGUGUCGAAUUCACUGUUGUAAAUGCAACCAUCCUUUUGGCAGAAUUUCAUACCCACUUGCUAAACUUACACACCAAACAAAUGUUUGGAAAGAAAAAGAGGAAUCCAUUUUGUCAUUAUUUACUGACACUCAUAAUGUUCAAAACAUGUAAGACUGUCUUUGUCGCUGUUUUUCAUGCAAUUACUGUAAAUGCGCACUCAAGCUUAAAAAUAUCAUAAAGGUCCACACAUUAGUAUAUUCCAAGUGCUCUUUUGACUUUAAGUUUGAAA